CAAGAGCUCUGAUACUGGAGGACAAGGGAGACCCAAGACUUAGUCCUCUCCUGAGCCUAAGAACUCUCUGUUGGGAUUAAAAAAUAAAUUAAAAAAAAAAGAGAUGUGAACACCUGGCCCAAAAGAACCCUCAAAAAUGGGGACUCAUCCAUUCAUUCCCCCUUGUAAGCAUUCAUCACCCCACAAACUUGCCUCUCCUCCGUGCCCAUCAAAUAUUCCGAAGAUAGAGGGAUGGGUCCUGUUGAUUAGGUCUGUGACCACUUCGAACCUGUCCUCCAUGUGGUCCCUCCGCCCUUGGAUGGAGUAGACAGCCACAUUGUGGCUCUUGAACUCCCAGGUCUUGGAGAACUCUGCAUCCAGCACAUCCAGCCCGCCGAACCUGUCAUUCUGCAUGAUCUCGGCCACUUUGCCCUUCACCAUCUUCACAGCAUCCCUGCUGGACUUGACAAUGGUUUUCACCUCAUCUGUGUGGAAGAAGUAACUCCAGAGGGCCAGGCUGAUACACAACAGGAACAGGGUCUCUGGUCUUAGCAAGAAGUAACGCAUGAUCCGGCCCAGCAGAGACAACAAAGUCAUUGUAUCCUCUAUCAUUUAUUAUAGAGACAGUGUAUCUCCCACACCAUGCACCACGCACCCCGAUGGCUGGGAUGGGUCUAAGACAAGGCAGCAAAUCAAUGCAUGCUGUGCUAAUGCAAGCCCAGCGAGGGCAGGGCUAGCCGCAGCCUCUUGCUCCUGCUGCUGCUUCAAGUGGGGCUCACUCACUCAGACGGCUGGGAUGGCUUUGAUACAAGAUGAUUUCCAGCUAGCUGACAGAUGGUGCUUUUAAAAACUGACCAAAUUUAUGACAGCUGACAUAACCCCCACCAACACAAGUGUGGCUCGAAAAUUAAUCAGAGAACCACAAGAGACAAGAAAACCAGUCAACAAUUCAAACUGAAAAACAUCAUAGAAUGCCUUUUGGCCAACACUCAGUGUUUAGGGAUAUAUCUUCCAAGUCUACCAGCAAGCCUUCCCUUCCUCAUAUAUUUUUGUCAGUUAGAAGGAAANCUGAAAAACAUCAUAGAAUGCCUUUUGGCCAACAUGUUUAGGGAUAUAUCUUCCAAGUCUACCAGCAAGCCUUCCCUUCCUCAUAUAUUUUUGUCAGUUAGAAGGAAAUAUCUAAGCACUAGAUUUCUUAUCUUAUCUUGCAAAGAUCAGUUUAAGCACAUUAUGUCAAACAGCUUAACCUAAUGGUAACCAGAAACGCCUGUUUGUAUACAUCUGACUCACACAUCCAGGCAUCAGAAGCAGGAAAGUUAAGGUCUACUGCUGGGUAUGAAGAAACUGAAUUGUAACAUUCAUACAGCACUUUUAAUUCAACUAUAUCAAAGCACCUAUACAAGGUUUGGUAUUAUAUUCAUGAGGAAACUGAGAAACACUAUUGCUGUGUGUCCUUGCGAAAAUCCUUUAGGCCUACAUUUUCAGGAGCCUCCAUUAAUUUUGGGUGCCUCAACUGGUGACACCUAAUGAGUUCAAUAGAGUUACAUUGCUGUGUAAGUGAAGAAAUGCAAUGGUAAAUCAGGUCCCUCAUUUUCAGAGGUGCUAAGCACCGGCAACUCCUCUUGAAAUCUAUUAGCAUUAAGGGUGCUUAGCACUUCAAAGUCAGGCCCUAAGUAUCUCAGGUUGGGCACCCAAAAUUAGUAGAGCCUUUGGACAGAGUAGUAUCAUAACCCAGGUUAUCUGAUGCCUAGAUCCAUUCUUUAAUCACUACUCUAUGCUGCCUCCCUACAGAGGGCACAAUUCAUAUGCUAUUCGGGAGGAGAGAGAGAACAGUUAGUACCUGAUCAGAUUAUAUUGUUUUAGUGCUGACCAGAUGAAAAGGCAUAUUGCAGAUUUUACCAAUGUUGUAAUGUAACUUCCCAUUGAUAAAGACAUUCCCACCUUCUCUCCUCUCCCCCAGCACCCCACCCACACUAUUCCAAAGAUACAGGAAUAUCACCACUAGACUUACAUAAAAUGUCUCCAAUAAUUGCUUUGACCUUUAUUUACCUUCAGCUCAGGAACAAAAGGAAACUAAAUAAUUUUCCAAAUUAAAGUUGUCGUCUUGUCUCAGCAAAGAAUUGAUAUUAACGUAUCCUCUUUGCCCUUUUUUUAAAUCUUCCAAUAUAUUUAAACACAAACUACAUUUCUUGCCUUUUGAGACAACCAAUACUGUUCUGUUAAUAUGUAUGGUCUCAUAAUAAAAGCAGUUACAGGAAGGCCA
RNAcentral lists this long non-coding RNA (2242 nucleotides) under Gopherus agassizii (Agassiz's desert tortoise). RNAcentral describes it as "lncRNA (ENSGAGG00000004500.1)". Lineage: Eukaryota; Metazoa; Chordata; Testudines; Testudinidae. The record is from RNAcentral.